CCCAGCUCUGACCUGCCUCAAAUGUUGACACAAUGUCACGUUUCCGACUGCAGUCUUUCAUGUGCAGCCGGAGGCUAAAUACGGCUGCUGGUUCCUGGAAAAAGACGUGCCUGGCACCCUUUCAGCAGAAACCCGAUCCCCAUGCAGGCUUGGCACAACAGCUGAAUAACACGGCAAUAACUCUUUCAGCAGCAUUUCAACCCAUAAAUAGGGCUUCCCGAGCGACUCCUUGAAGUCAGGCGAGGAGGAUACAACGAUUUUUAGAAAAAGCAAAAAUAUAAAGUCAGGGUGUGUGAAGAGCGGGUGCGGGGGGGCAGCGGGUUCAGGCAGAUCAAAGGGUGCCGUGGGGGUGCUGAGCGUGGUUUGGUGAGAGGGAGCCCAGGAUUGCCUCAAAAGGAAAGAAACGCUCCUGAAUUUUUUAAUGUCUCGGUCCCGUUUCAUACCAGCCCUGUGGAGGCAGGGGAAGAGCCUUCCCGGGAGCCAGGGCCUUUCCUAACCCCGGUGAGGACACACAGACACAUAAUUUUAGCUUUUCACCACCUGUUUGGAAAGCUCCUAUAACCGAGUGCUGUGGGACUGGAUGGUUUUUACAGGCAUGUACCCCGGGAGCUGCUUAUUUGCAUUAUGCAUGGACCAAGGCCUAAAAUAAUCUGCAGUGACGCACAUUUUUUGCUGUGAUUUUUUUUCCCCCUCCCUCUUCCAGGACUCCAUUUUUCUGAACGUGCCAUGACUUUUGAGGACCACGCAUGGUUGCCCAGCCCCGGGGCUGCCGAGGCCCUGAUUCAGCACGUCCUGCUGCGGCGGGGGAGCAGGGGGAGCUCCGGGUGCCCGGCCGUGACACAGGGAGAGGGCCCUGGUGCUCCGCCUUGGCUUUCAUCUGCAGAGCGUGUAGCUGCAAGUGCGGCGUGUUUACAAAUGCAGGCAUUGCAAGAUCCCUUGAACUGUGUCCUAGUACAAAAGAGGCUUUGAAACGAGAAACACGUUGUCAUGGCAUGUUCCAGGCCAGCAGCACCAGACUGAACCAGAUAAUUGCUGUUUCUGCUUCACCGUGGAAAAAGCAGCAGGCCUCCCAAGAGCCGCUUUCUAAGACGAUGCCCUCGGGAAAGCUGUCACCAGCCUCGUCGAGCAGCGGCUCCUCCGGGCAGCACAGCUGGUCCUGAUCCCUCCGCAGGCCCAUUCCCAUCGGAGCUGCGGCUUUCUCCAGGAGGAGCAGGUAUGGGACCACCAGCACACAGC
RNAcentral lists this long non-coding RNA (1236 nucleotides) under Manacus vitellinus (golden-collared manakin). RNAcentral describes it as "lncRNA (ENSMVIG00005013517.1)". The record is from RNAcentral. Lineage: Eukaryota; Metazoa; Chordata; Aves; Passeriformes; Pipridae.